RNAcentral lists this ribosomal RNA (102 nucleotides) under Pantoea agglomerans. RNAcentral's name for it is "partial 23S ribosomal RNA". The stretch from base 1 to 84 matches the Rfam family "Bacterial large subunit ribosomal RNA", at positions 2842 to 2925 of the family's 2925-position model. Lineage: Bacteria; Pseudomonadati; Pseudomonadota; Gammaproteobacteria; Enterobacterales; Erwiniaceae. The record is from RNAcentral.
AGACUACGACGUUGAUAGGCCGGGUGUGUAAGCGCAGCGAUGCGUUGAGCUAACCGGUACUAAUGACCCGUGAGGCUUAACCUUACAACGCCAGAGGCGUUU